Molecule: long non-coding RNA, 1559 nt
Organism: Toxorhynchites rutilus septentrionalis
Lineage: Eukaryota; Metazoa; Arthropoda; Insecta; Diptera; Culicidae
Exons: 3
Source: RefSeq, a predicted model, not a curated record
CUAUGAUUUUUAAUUAAAGUUAGAUUAUGAUUUUCCAUAUUUUCAGUACCAAAUGAGAGACGAAAAAGCAUUCUCGUUGAACUUCCGAGAUAGAGAUUUUCCACAUCUCUUUCUCUCUGAAAAAGAAUUUUCGGUGAAAAGGAAGGGACGAAAAUAUCAACAAUACACGGUUCAUCGAAAACCACGAUAGAUACAAUACGGUAGCGCGACUUAUGAGAAAGGCCUUUCAGCCAUCUUGGAUUUUGUAUGUAAACAAUCUGCAAUAUUUUGCAAUAUCUUUUUUUUGCUCUUUGUGUGAGGUAUUGUUUUGGUGGGAAUAAGAGCAUUGAAAAAUUGAAAGCUCAAGAGAAUAAAUCGACUUUCGGUGUCGGUCGGAGAUGGAGGUAUUUUUCCCAUGUUUUGCAGUUAGAGACGUCGGUUAAUCGUUCGAUUAAUUCAAAUAAUCGAAUAUCUGUAUCAGUAAUUUUAUAUCAAAUAAUGAAAAAUCAAGAAAAUACAGUGCAAAAUUUGCUUAACCGUCAUGGUGUUUCGUCGAAAUUCAUAGAAUAUGCUAAGUCAUUUACGGUAGAAGCUUGAUUCCUAGGUGGUGGAGGAGACUGGGAAGAAGAAUUCAGGGUCUGCAGGAGUAAAAUGCGGACUUGAAGAAGGUGGUCUCAGCUCCCGUUCUAAAAUAGUAGUAUUCAAAUUCAGAGCGCCGAGGAAAAUAUACCAUACUAGUGAUCAAUGAUUCUAUGACCAAGCAGAGAUAUUCAAACAAAUCAGCUAUUUCAACAAACAACAUUCGAAGAACAGAUAAUUUCGAACAGCCAAAAUUUUGGUUGGUGCAAAAAAAAAUGCAUGUCGGACUGGACUAAUAUCGACAGACUCGAUAAUAUGUGAUUCGAUUAUAUACAAUUUUGAACUCGAUUAUAUACAGUUUGGAAAAAAAUAUUUUUUUUAUAUUUUAAGUAUGACUUAUUUCAAGAAGGAAGGUAACCUUUUAACGAUAAGGUGAAAUUUAAGUGGCUAUUACAUGUACAGUGGGGUGAAAAUCGUCAUUUUUGAAGAUUUUGCUUGAGUUUUCACCAGUUAUAACGUUAUAUCGUUAUUGCAGCCAAAUUAAUAAAGCAGAAGUUGGGUGUCAAAAAACAAAUUUUAAAGCGGUUAGAGAGCUUUAAUUUAAUUGAUAGAAAUGAUCUAGUUCAAUAUAAAUUUUCAGGAUAAAAUUAAUAAUAACACAUUAAAUAUUAUUAACUUUCAAGUUUUCCACUUCCAAAAUUUUCUCAUAUUUCAAAUGAAAGCAACAGAAUCGUCUUCCGUAGCGUAGUUUUUAAAGUAGAGCCAGUUUGAGGCAACAAGUCCGAAACAAAAAAAAUAGUUCUAUAACUAUUUCAUUGUUGAAAUUGGAACAUAUGCGUAGAAGGAUUUUUAUUCAUCAAAUAUGAUCGUCUAUUACCUCCUGAAAGAAUCUGGAUAAAUAUAUUUUUUUCAUGCGGGAAAGGUAUUUUCUGACUUUGAGGGGGUGAAUCAAAAAUCAAAUUCCUGUUUUACAUUCAAGAAAUGAAAAAAACAUACAAAAA